Quercus lobata is the source of this 569-nucleotide long non-coding RNA. RefSeq lists it as uncharacterized. The transcript is spliced from 3 exons. The record is from RefSeq and is a predicted model, not a curated record. Lineage: Eukaryota; Viridiplantae; Streptophyta; Magnoliopsida; Fagales; Fagaceae.
UGCUCCAUUUUACUAAAGCUUGGCAAAUGUAUUCUUAGACUGAAGUCCGAAUAUGGAACACCCAUUAAUCCCAAGCAACCACAAUGCAAAACUUUGAGAUCCAAGUUUAUUGGAUUUCUUAAAAAGUUUCGGUUUCGAAGGAGCAAGAACCGAGCCAUUGGCUUUAAGCACAAAUCAGAUCUCCCACACCCAGAAGCUAGAUUUCGAAAAUAUCAUCUGGGAUGGCUUGCUUAUAAGGAACUAAUCUGUAUGGGCUCUUUGGUGGUUGGGAUUUUUGCAUUUCUGUCUCAAACAAUAUGCAACAAAGAUUGGUGGGGAAUUACUAUUCAUGGUUGUGUUAUCAUGUUAUACUUUGUUUUGUUAUUCAAGAAAUAUAUGACAGGAAAAAUCAGUAAUUUCUGCAUACUUCUAAUGGGUACAUCAGUGGUUUGUUCACUAGCGUUUGAUUUAGACAAAUAUUUGAAAAUUGGUUAUAUUCAGAUGCCAUGGAACUAUGUUGUUUCCUCCAGCUUGCCAGGUAUGUUUCAAGGUUUUAUCAAACUGUGGGGGUCCAGGUGAGGCUUUUUAUU